GGUGAAGUAGCUCAGCUGGCUAGAGCAUUCGGUUCAUACCCGAAGGGUCAGGGGUUCAAGUCCCUUCUUCACUACCA
RNAcentral lists this transfer RNA (77 nucleotides) under Clostridiales bacterium. RNAcentral's name for it is "tRNA-Met". It matches the Rfam family "tRNA". Rfam says of the family: Transfer RNA (tRNA) molecules are approximately 80 nucleotides in length. Their secondary structure includes four short double-helical elements and three loops (D, anti-codon, and T loops). Lineage: Bacteria; Bacillati; Bacillota; Clostridia; Eubacteriales. The record is from RNAcentral.